UGGACCGGGACCGAGUGGGCCGGAGACCGGGAGUUGCGCCUCGGGUUUCGGCUGCACCACCGGCGGGUCGUGAAUCCUUUCGAAGGCAGAGCUGAAGCGACCGGCGGAGAUUCCGUGAGAUGUUUCAGCUGCACGGAGGCGCCCGGCCUUUCCCCGUCGAGGAUCGGGGCCUGUUGUCUGGAGUUGUCUCCCAGACCCGUCCCUUCCUGCUGGGUGACGGGAGCUGCCCCGCAGCGGCUGCCGGUGGAUCUCCGGAGCUCUCACCGCUCCCCUGUGCAAUCCGAACGGCUGAAAACCAAGGGAGAACAAGGCGCAAAGUCCUGAAGGGUCUCGGUCUGAAACACCGACUGUUCACUCCUCUCCAUCGUCGCCGCCUGCCCCCCUGAGUUCCUCCAGCAUUUUGUGUCUGUUGCUUUGGGUUCAGGAUCUGCAGAUUCUCGCCUGAAAAAAAAUUGCGCAUGCGUGGUCGUCGCCACCAAUCCCGACUAUCGCGCAUGCGCUGAGUAGCAGAGUCUGACAACGACCGGACAAAGGUUUGAAAUGGCAGAACACUUGCGCAUGGGAAUCUCAAACACAACAACACAUCAGUUUUGCUGAAUGACUGGAUAUUUAAGGAGUGACCAAAUAUUUUCUUUGCAACACCAACACCUCUGUUGUCGAUCCACGGAGAUGAAGAAUUAUCUCAUAACAUCUGGUAAUGUGUUCUGUCACUGAAAUCAAGCAUUCUGUUGUAACUCAGUGAAAUCCACUUGAACCGGGGUGCUGAGAACACACCAGCAUUUGUUCACUGGAGAUCAGUUCUUCUACUGCAUUGAUUGUAGACGGGAUUCAAACGUCUGACUGUCUGAAUUGCAGAGAAUUGAUCGCAGUGAGAUAUCAUUCUCCUUCUCUCAGUGUGGGAGGGGAUUCUCUCACAGCCUACCUGCAGACACGCUGGUGAGUUCACAUUAGGGAGAGGCCAUUCACCUGCUCUGUGUGAGGGAGGGGAACUACUCAAUCAUCCAGCCUGAAGAUACAUCAGCAAGUUCACACCACAGUGAGAUGCUCCACCUGUUCUGACAGCGGGAAGCAAUACAUUCUGUCAUCGAUGCUGAAGAUAUAUCCUAAAGUUCACCAGUGAGAGGACAUUGACCUGCUCGGAUGGUGGGAAGACAUUCACACGCUCAACCAGACCACAGUGACACCAAUGAGUUCACACCGGGGAGAAGCCAUUCACCUGCUCUGAAUAGGGGAAGAUAUUCACUCAUUCGUCCACACUACAUAGACACCAGCGAGUUCACACUGGGGAGAGCCCAUUCACCUGCUCAGACUGUGGGAAGAGAUUCACUCAGUCGAUUCACCUGCUGCAACAUCAGUUAGUUCACACUAGGGAGAUGCCAUUCACAUGCUCAGACUGUGGGAAAGGAUUCACCCAGUCAUCUCAACUGAAGGAGCAUCAGCGAGUCCACACUGAGGAGAAGCCAUUCACUUGCUCUGAAUGUGGGAAAGGAUUUGCUCGGUCAUCUGAACUGAAGGUACAUCAGCGAGUUCACACUGGGGAGAGGCCAUUCACCUGCUCAGACUGUGGGAAGGGAUUCACUCACUCGUCCAACCUGCACAGACACCAGCGAGUUCACACUGGGGAGAAGCCAUUUAUCUGCUCUGAAUGUGGGAAGGUAUUUGCUCAGUCAUCUGAACUGAAGUCCCAUCAGCGAGUCCACACUGGGGAGAAGCCAUUCACUUGCUCAGAAUGUGGGAAAGGAUUCGCUCGGUCAUCUGUACUGAAGUCACAUCAGCGAGUUCACACUCGGGCGAUGCCAUUCACCUGCGCAGACUGUGGGAAGGGAUUCACUCACUCGUCCAAUCUACAGAGACAUCAGCGAGUUCACACUGGGGAGAAGCCAUUCACAUGCUCUGAAUGUGGGAAAGGAUUCGCUCAGUCAUCUGAACUGAAGUCACAUCAGCGAGUUCAUACGGGAGAGAAGCCAUUCACCUGCUCUGACUGUGGGAAAGGAUUUGCUCGGUCAUUUGAACUGAAGUUACAUCAACGAGUUCACACUAGUGAGAGGCCGUUCACCUGCUCUGACUGUGGGAAGGGAUUCACUCACUCGUCCAAUCUACACAGACACCAGCGAGUCCACACUGGAGAGAAGCCAUUCAUAUGCUCUGAAUGUGGGAAACGAUUUGCCCAGACAGCUCAACUGAAGUUACAUCAGCGAGUCCACACUGGGGAGAGGCCGUUCACUUGCUCUGAAUGUGGGAAGGGAUUUGCUCAGUCAUCUGAACUGAAGGUACAUCAGCGAGUUCACACUGGUGAGAGGCCGUUCAGCUGCUCAGAAUGUGGGAAAGGAUUCAUUCGUUCAUCUCAACUCCUGAGACACCAGCAAAUUCAUACUGGGGAGAAACCAUUCAUCUGCUCAGAAUGUGGGAAGGGAUUCACCGAUUCAGUUCAUCUGAAAGAACAUCAGUUUGUUCACACUGUGGAGAGGCCGUUCACCUGCUCAGACUGUGGGAAAGGAUUCACUCGGCGUUUUAGUCUAUUAACGCACCAGUUAGAUCACAGUGAGGAGAAACCAUUCAUAUGCUCUGAAUGUGGGAAAGGAUUCACACAGUCAUCUCAACUGAAGGAGCAUCAGCGAGUCCACACUGGGGAGAAGCCGUUCAUCUGCUCUGAAUGUGGGAAGGGAUUUGCUCAGUCAUCUCAACUGAAGUUACAUCAGCGAGUCCACACUGGGGAGAGGCCAUUCAACUGCUCUGAAUGUGGGAAAGGAUUCAGUCGUUCUUCUCAACUCCUGAGACACCAGCGAAUUCACACUGGGGAGAAACCAUUCAUCUGCCCAGAGUGUGGGAAGGGAUUCACCGAUUCAGCUCAGCUGAAAGAACAUCAGUUUGUUCACACUGGGGAGAGGCCAUUCACCUGCUCAGACUGUGGGAAAAGAUUCAGUCGUUCAUCUCAGCUCUCGAGGCAUCAGCAAAUUCACACUGGGGAGAAACCAUUCUGAGGAAAUGCGGAUAUAUAAAAAAUUAUUUUGAACCUAAGUAACCUCUAGAUAAAAGAAUAAUUGGGACUGAACAGGAAUUUUUGAACUAAAGUAAACUCUGUCUUCAGCAGUUAAGAAACUCAAUGGCUUAUACUGGUUUCCUUUUAAUUGUCAGAGGGACAUUGAGAAUUUGAUAAUAUAUAUUGUACUCGUGUUUGAGUCAGGACUCAUCGAUAAGGUCAGCAAUGAACAUCGGUCUGGAAUGAAGUCAGGACCUUGCAAAGGGAAUAGCUGAUAAGGACUGGACUGUAUAUCCAUCUAUAUUCAAGCCUUGAGUUAGUGCACUCUGUUAUCUAAGACAUUAAGUUUUGCACCAACAGACUUGGUGGGCGUACCAGUUCUAAUAGCAGCUUGCAACAGUGAUGUAUGGGACUUACUAUGUAUGAAUAUACUGCUGUAACCUGACUGAGAGAGUCCACUUGUCAGAUGGUUGGCAGCACUGACAUGCCUUCCCUCUGAUAACUGGGUCUCAGACUCUUGCAAGAGAAUGCAAUAAACUGUGGUGCCGAGAGGAAACUGGUCUCCCGAGUUUAACAUUGGGUGUCACGAACAGGAUCCCAAUACAGAGAGUGCGAAGCAGACAGACGGAGUAAGCGGCCGGACCACUCCGGGGACUGUGGAGACCGACCAGGUGCCCAACGGGUAUUUCACCUUUUGUCGCUCACCGUCAGUUCCUGUGGAGGCACGGUUCCUCGCCGAAGGCUGCUUGCAUAUCUUGACGGGAUCGGGAAUGUCUCUGUCGGAAGACUUGUAUAAGGAGGUCUCCAGAGGAGAUUCACCAGGAGUGUGGAGGAUCGUAGUUCAUCACUCCCAGAGUGCCUGCUGCCGGCUGGUGGCGCAAUUUUCUCUGCAUCGGCGGAGACUGAGGGAGGUCUGGCAAACAUCGCCGGGACAGACACUUGGAGCUGUGGACGGAGAGCCACGCCGGUCCCUGUAGAUGCCGCGGCCGACGACCACCGACAAUAGUAUCACUGAACACCACCAUAGCGAUAGAGCAGACAAGGAGGGUCUGAGUUUGGGGCAGAUUUCCAUCAGACCUAUCGUAGUUCAGACCCUUCACUGUCCCCUGCUGUCACUGGCAGAGGAACGCGUCGGUCAAAUGAGAUGAUUAGUUAAUGUGAAUUUCAGACAUGGACAGAGGUGGGAAUAUGAAAACAGCGACGGUGUUGCCUUUGGAAAAUAGAGGCGGAUCAGUUCAACAGGUUAAAGUACAGUUGGGUGUGUAUUAUGCAGAGACCUUGCAAAAAUUUAAACCUGACUUUGACUUCUAAACUUAAUAAAGUGUUCCCAGUCAGAGAGUAGCCUCUGUACUGUUGGAUUCAAUAGAGUUUGUGAUGCUUAUAAUGGAUGUGGUGAAUUGUACUGAUCAGACAUCUCGUCCUACUGGCAAAAACAUAAAAUGAUUGUGAAAGCUGCAGAAAGGUAUCUCGGUGUAACCGGUGUUAUGUUGGAAGCUGUAAAUGAAGAUCUGAUGGGUGGAGUAUCUGCAUCCUAGUCUGUCCCAGACUGAUUUUUCAUCGUCAACACAUUAAGAAGCCUGUUUCUCAUUUGGCAGAAUCCCCCAAUGUUUUGAGAAUUCAGGAAAAGAGAUUAUUUUCACAGUUAAGUUUUUACUGUGCAGGAUUAUAUUGUCGUUUGGCGUGAUUGGCCAUCUGAUAGAGAGGUAGUGCUGACAGUUUAUAAGGAAAGAGGCAGGGUGUAGAGUUGUGAAUAUGAAUGAACCGUAUGCGGCAUUUGCUGGAGAAAUAUUUGAUUCAGCAGGUAGUUGUAUAAAACAGAUUAUGGUUUACAACGCUUGUGGGAAUCUUUCUACUCAGUUGUGAGAAAGUAUAUUUUGUUCUCGCUCACGAAGAGUUGUCUGAUGCUGAGAUUUUAACGCAGUUCACUGAGGGUUUGUUUGCUGAAUGAUGGUAAUGGUUUGAUUAAAGAACAGUUUUUCAACUUGUGUGUCUGAAUGGGUAGGAGAUUCAAUAUUCGCAGUAGUUCUAGAACCGCUGCAGAAUGUUGACGAAGAUGUGUAUUUUUACAAUGAAAUGUUAUGUCACGUUAUUCAGCAAAUGAUGAAAGUGAUUCCCAUUACAAACGGAAUUAAUAGGAGAAAGGCUGUAUCACUGUGGACUGAGGAGUGUACAGAGGCGAUUAGGGAGUGAGACAAGGCGUUUAGGAAAGUGAAGAAGUAUCAGUGUCCCAGCAACCUUAUUAAGUAUAAAAGGGCAGAAGCCGUGAUGAGGAAAAUGGUAAAGAUUGCGAAAAAGAUUUUCUAGCGACAUACUCUGACAAUAUUGCAGGGAUUGGUAGGUCAGACGUCACCAGGACAGGAUGAUACAUGUUAUUGUUUGGUCAGAUAAAUGGGGAUGUCGGCAUAUUUCGGGGUUUGCCAGUGAAUCCAGUGGUACAGACGGAUUUGGCGGAGCAUCCAGCUUUGCGGAUGUGCUCCGCUUUAGGGGUAUGUCAGCGAAUGUGUGAGUGCACAAGGAUUUCGUGGUGUCGGAUGCUUUGGGGUGGACACUGAUUUGAAGGUUCAUUGAGGGUUUUCUGGAGAGCACAGAUUUGUGGAUGCAGACUGAUUUGCACAAAGCUGGGUGUGUUGGCGGAUUUGGGGUUGAACAAUAACCUGGGUGAGCCGGGGCAUCUGGAGGUGUGUCGGAUUUCAAGGUUUUUCCGUUUGUCCAUACUUUAAUAAAAAUGCAAUGUCAACUUUGACCAUUGUUCGUCCUAUGUUUUAAACGGAGACAACCUUUUUUGUGAACU
RNA transcript from Hypanus sabinus (Atlantic stingray), 5771 nucleotides. It is a transcript of the gene named zinc finger protein 420-like, with no coding region annotated. NCBI's taxonomy places the organism in Eukaryota, Metazoa, Chordata, Chondrichthyes, Myliobatiformes, Dasyatidae. The transcript has 4 exons. The record is from RefSeq and is a predicted model, not a curated record.